RNAcentral lists this ribosomal RNA (468 nucleotides) under uncultured bacterium. Its description in RNAcentral is "partial 16S ribosomal RNA". It matches the Rfam family "Bacterial small subunit ribosomal RNA", at positions 28 to 507 of the family's 1533-position model. The record is from RNAcentral.
GACGAACGCUGGCGGCGUGCUUAACACAUGCAAGUCGAACGGAAAGGCCCUGCUUUUGUGGGGUGCUCGAGUGGCGAACGGGUGAGUAACACGUGAGUAACCUGCCCUUGACUUUGGGAUAACUUCAGGAAACUGGGGCUAAUACCGGCUAGGAGCUCCUGCUGCAUGGUGGGGGUUGGAAAGUUUCGGCGGUUGGGGAUGGACUCGCGGCUUAGCAGCUUGUUGGUGGGGUAGUGGCUUACCAAGGCGUUGACGGGUAGCCGGCCUGAGAGGGUGACCGGCCACAUUGGGACUGAGAUACGGCCCAGACUGCUACGGGAGGCAGCAGUGGGGAAUAUUGCACAAUGGGCGGAAGCCUGAUGCAGCAACGCCGCGUGCGGGAUGACGGCCUUCGGGUUGUAAACCGCUUUCGCCUGUGACGAAGCGUGAGUGACGGUAAUGGGUAAAGAAGCACCGGCUAACUACGUG